RNAcentral lists this ribosomal RNA (498 nucleotides) under uncultured bacterium. RNAcentral's name for it is "partial 16S ribosomal RNA". It matches the Rfam family "Bacterial small subunit ribosomal RNA", at positions 28 to 507 of the family's 1533-position model. The record is from RNAcentral.
GACGAACGCUGGCGGCGUGCCUAAUACAUGCAAGUCGAACGAGAGCGACCGGUGCUUGCACUGGUCAAUCUAGUGGCGAACGGGUGAGUAACACGUGGGUGACCCGCCCAUCAGAGGGGGAUAACAUCCGGAAACGGAUGCUAAAACCGCAUAGGUCUUCGAGCCGCAUGGCUUGAAGAGGAAAAGAGGCGCAAGCUUCUGCUGAUGGAUGGACCCGCGGUGCAUUAGCUAGUUGGUGAGGUAACGGCUCACCAAGGCCGUGAUGCAUAGCCGACCUGAGAGGGUGAUCGGCCACAUUGGGACUGAGACACGGCCCAAACUCCUACGGGAGGCAGCAGUAGGGAAUCUUCCGCAAUGGACGCAAGUCUGACGGAGCAACGCCGCGUGAGUGAAGAAGGUUUUCGGAUCGUAAAACUCUGUUGUUAGAGAAGAACAAGUGCUAGAGUAACUGUUAGCGCCUUGACGGUAUCUAACCAGAAAGCCACGGCUAACUACGUG